UUUUAAAUUUAGAGUUUGAUCCUGGCUCAGGACGAACGCUGGCGGCGUGCUUAACACAUGCAAGUCGAGCGAUGAAGCUUCCUUCGGGAAGAGGAUUAGCGGCGGACGGGGGAGUAACACGUGGGUAACCUGCCUCAAAGUGGGGGAUAGCCUUCCGAAAGGAAGAUUAAUACCGCAUAAUAUA
Molecule: ribosomal RNA, 184 nt
Filed under: Clostridium botulinum
Lineage: Bacteria; Bacillati; Bacillota; Clostridia; Eubacteriales; Clostridiaceae
Description: partial 16S ribosomal RNA
Rfam family: Bacterial small subunit ribosomal RNA
Source: RNAcentral